This 291-nucleotide ribosomal RNA is filed under the name uncultured bacterium. Its description in RNAcentral is "partial 16S ribosomal RNA". It matches the Rfam family "Bacterial small subunit ribosomal RNA", at positions 334 to 617 of the family's 1533-position model. The record is from RNAcentral.
UAUUCCUACGGGGUGCAGCAGUAGGGAAUCUUCCACAAUGGACGAAAGUCUGAUGGAGCAACGCCGCGUGAGUGAAGAAGGGUUUCGGCUCGUAAAGCUCUGUUGUUGGAGGAGAACGUGCGUGAGAGUAACUGUUCACGCAGUGACGGUAUCCAACCAGAAAGUCACGGCUAACUACGUGCCAGCAGCCGCGGGAAUACGUAGGUGGCAAGCGUUAUCCGGAUUUAUUGGGCGUAAAGCGAGCGCAGGCGGUUGCUUAGGUGUGAUGUGAAAGCCCUUGGGUUAACCGGA